AGCCCGGCUGGCGCAAUGGUAGCGCGCAAGACUGUAAAUUUCCCCCACCCCCGACUCGAUAUUAUGCUCUUUUCGCUGACCUCCCCUCUGUCUAAAACUGUGAUCUUGAGGCUGCGGGUUCGACCCCCGCGUUGGGCUU
Molecule: transfer RNA, 139 nt
Filed under: Penicillium salamii
Lineage: Eukaryota; Fungi; Ascomycota; Eurotiomycetes; Eurotiales; Aspergillaceae
Description: tRNA-Tyr
Rfam family: tRNA
About the family: Transfer RNA (tRNA) molecules are approximately 80 nucleotides in length. Their secondary structure includes four short double-helical elements and three loops (D, anti-codon, and T loops).
Source: RNAcentral